GUGCACACACAGAUGUGAGAGAGAUCAACUGCGAAGCGACUGCAAGAGGCCAGAAGAGCUUCCAUGGGUCAAGAACCCAGGCAUGGCAUGGAUGGUCCCUCUACUCAUGGUCUCACAAGGCUGCAAUCAAGAGGAUGGAAAGAAACAACAGGAAGCAAGUGGAGAGAAGAAAAGCGAAGGAGCACGGGAAAAAAAUGUAUCACUUAGUGUGGGAGUAUCUGCCCUUCCUCGUACGUCUGCUAGAAAGGA
Molecule: long non-coding RNA, 249 nt
Organism: Camelus dromedarius (Arabian camel)
Lineage: Eukaryota; Metazoa; Chordata; Mammalia; Artiodactyla; Camelidae
Exons: 3
Source: RefSeq, a predicted model, not a curated record